RNAcentral lists this ribosomal RNA (251 nucleotides) under uncultured bacterium. RNAcentral's name for it is "partial 16S ribosomal RNA". It matches the Rfam family "Bacterial small subunit ribosomal RNA", at positions 336 to 604 of the family's 1533-position model. The record is from RNAcentral.
UUCCUACGGGACGCAGCAGUGGGGAAUAUUGCACAAUGGGGGGAACCCUGAUGCAGCGACGCCGCGUGAGUGAAGAAGUAUUUCGGUAUGUAAAGCUCUAUCAGCAGGGAAGAAGAUGACGGUACCUGACUAAGAAGCCCCGGCUAACUACGUGCCAGCAGCCGCGGUAAUACGUAGGGGGCAAGCGUUAUCCGGAUUUACUGGGUGUAAAGGGAGCGUAGACGGCAGGGCAAGUCUGGAGUGACAGCCCG